UUAGUCGUGGCCUACCGGUUAGGGCUUCAGGCUUGGAACCGAAGGGUUGCCGCUUCGAUCCCCGACAAGUAGA
This 73-nucleotide transfer RNA is filed under the name Alosa alosa (allis shad). RNAcentral describes it as "tRNA-OTHER". The record is from RNAcentral. Lineage: Eukaryota; Metazoa; Chordata; Actinopteri; Clupeiformes; Clupeidae.